This 164-nucleotide ribosomal RNA is filed under the name Muenchhusia coccinea. RNAcentral's name for it is "Hibiscus coccineus 5.8S ribosomal RNA". It matches the Rfam family "5.8S ribosomal RNA". Rfam says of the family: 5.8S ribosomal RNA (5.8S rRNA) is a component of the large subunit of the eukaryotic ribosome. Lineage: Eukaryota; Viridiplantae; Streptophyta; Magnoliopsida; Malvales; Malvaceae. The record is from RNAcentral.
AAAACGACUCUCGGCAACGGAUAUCUCGGCUCUCGCAUCGAUGAAGAACGUAGCGAAAUGCGAUACUUGGUGUGAAUUGCAGAAUCCCGUGAACCAUCGAGUCUUUGAACGCAAGUUGCGCCCCAAGCCAUUAGGCCGAGGGUACGUCUGCCUGGGUGUCACGC